GCCCUGAUGGCUCAGUUGGUUAGAGCGCAGGUCUCAUACAGCUGUAUGACCGGUAUCAUUGCCGGGCAAUCCUGAGGUCGCAAGUUCGAACCUUGCUCAGGGCA
Non-coding RNA from Suillus paluster, 104 nucleotides. The record is from the annotation of a RefSeq genome assembly. Lineage: Eukaryota; Fungi; Basidiomycota; Agaricomycetes; Boletales; Suillaceae.